GUUUAUUGAAAAUGGUUUUUUUCCAGCUAGUCUAUUCUGCAGGACUGCAGUGUGAUAGCUAGUUCUCACAUGGGCUUGAGAGCUGGAUCUGGAACCUAUGUCACUUCAGAGAAUGAAGUAGAAGUAACCACAUGGAGCAAAUAUUCGUUUUGUACAGAUGUGAACACCACUGCAUUUACCAUGAAAAAUCAGCCACCUGGGAUCUCAAAAGGACAACUACCAGUUUUAAGGGCAGAUGAAGAAGCAAAUGCUUCAUUCUGA
This 261-nucleotide long non-coding RNA is filed under the name Phasianus colchicus (ring-necked pheasant). RNAcentral's name for it is "lncRNA (ENSPCLG00000010845.1)". The record is from RNAcentral. Lineage: Eukaryota; Metazoa; Chordata; Aves; Galliformes; Phasianidae.